This is a long non-coding RNA of Glycine soja, 2430 nucleotides long. RefSeq lists it as uncharacterized. The transcript has 3 exons. NCBI's taxonomy places the organism in Eukaryota, Viridiplantae, Streptophyta, Magnoliopsida, Fabales, Fabaceae. The record is from RefSeq and is a predicted model, not a curated record.
AAGAGAAAAAAUAAAAAAUUGAUUAGAUAAAAGAAAAUAUCAUUAAUUGUUUUAAGUUAGAAGAUAGUAAGUAAUUAGACAAAAAAAUCUAUAUUAAAAUUAUUACAACAAUAAUUAAAAAGUUCUAAGAUUACAAACAUUUUUAUAGAAAUAAACUUAUGACAUUUCAUCCAUAAAAAGAGAGAGAAAUAGAAGUAGGCAUUCAAUGAAAAACAAGAUUGCCAACAAAAAAGAAAAUCUUAAUGCUCUUGCUAGGGAAUGUGAGACGUGAUUUGUUCAUCUCCUUGCCAGACUCACCGUUGAGAUUGAAAAACCAGGUAAACAAACAACAUGAAAAUCUGAGAGCCCAUCAAAACUAUUAAUCUUCCCAUUGACAACAUUUUUACAGUCUAGUUCAAAAUCCACAUUUUGGACAUUUUGAUUCUUCAACGACAUUGCCUGUAAAAAAUCCCCAUGCUUUAGCUUAGAUGGGUCAGGGACACCUUAUAUUUAAGGUGAUUUAAGAUAAAUUGUUUAUCUCUGCGUGUUAUAUUUUAUUUAUAUUUUUCAUCGUUGAAUGGUUGAAUGAUGGAUGGUAUUUGAAAACAAUUGGAUGAUGACAAAAUUAUCAAAGAUUGACAUUUUUCAUUUCUAUUUAACUAAGGCAAGCGCAGCAAAACAAAAACCGUUUGGUAUUUUACAGCAGGCUUCCUCUCGGGAGAGAGAUGAGCAUCUUGAAAUCCUCUUGAAACCACUUGUUACUCCUCUCUCUCUUGAUCACCUUGCUAACUUCUUCAAGUGAAGCAGCUCCUACAUACACCACACAUGUCUCCACAAAGGGAUCAUAUUACCAACCCAACACAACAUUCCAAACCAACUUGAACUUCAAGGGACUUUUUUUAUUAGCAUAGUGGGAUAAAGCUUGUGUUGAAAAUCUUACUAGUUGGAAUCUGCUCUCCUUGGGAAGCUCAAGAACAAGAAGAAUAUGAUGAUGGAAUUGACAUUUUUGACUCAUUGCAAUUCAGCUUUAACAGCAUACGAGAUGCUACAAAUGACUUUUGUGAUUCCAGUAAACUCGGACAAGGAGGAUUUGGGUUGGGGCUGUUUACAGGGUGGGCUUUCCGAUGGACAAGAGGUUGCUGUCAAAAGGUUGUCCACAGAUUCUAGACAUGGGGAUAUAGAAUUAAAAAAUGAAGUGCUUUUAGUGGCCAAGCUUCAGCACCGAAACUUAGUUAGGCUGCUUGGUUUCUGUCUAGAAAGGAGAGAAAGACUACUUGACUAUGAAUUUGUUCCAAAUAAAAGCCUUGAUUACUUCAUAUUUGCUAGGUUUAGUUUGAAUGUUUGUUUAAGUGGACCAUACCUCUAUUACUUCAAUUGUGGCUUAGGACUAAGCUUAAUUACAUAUUCCUAAGAUUCAUUUGGCUUGUUUGUCUAUGUAGAUCAAACCAAGAGACCAUAAUUAAAUUGGGAAAAGCACUACAAAAUCAUUAAAGGUGCUGCUCGAGGCAUUCUCUACCUCCACCAGAUUCUCUAUAGCACAUUAUCCAUCGGGAUCUCAAAGUAAGCAACAUUCUCUUAGAUGAAGAGAUGAAUCCAAAAAUAUCGGAUUUUUGGUUUGGCAACACUGUUUGGUGUGAUCAAACUCAUGGAGACACUAAUACGAUUGUUGGAACCUAGCAUGGCAAAGCUGGAGAGAAGGAAGAGCUACAGAUAUCGUAGAUCCCACAAUAAAUAAUGGUUCACAAAAUGAAAUAAUGAGAUGCAUCCACAUUGGGCUACUCUGCCUUCAAGACAAUAUAGCUGCCAGACCUACCAUGGCUUCAGUUUUACACGUGCUUAAUAGCCAUUCUUGCACUCUCCCACUACCCUUAGAACCUGCAUUUUAUGUGGAUAGUAGAACUGAAAACCUUCCGGACAUACAGUUAUGGGAGUUUAAUUCAAGGACAAUAAUGCGAAUACACAACUACAUCAGCUCAAGAAUCGGUCAAUGAGGCUUCUAUUACUGACUCAUAACCUCGCUAGAUUUUGAUUAUAAUGGUGGUAGUCAUAAACAUGGUCGAUCUAGAUAAAAAAACAAAUUCAAUUCUUAAACCAAAGUGCAUCAUAUACAUAGUUACAUACACAUUUAAGUAAUUCUUUCGUAGUCUUGUCUACUGUCUAGAGUCUAGACAAACCAAAUGUCCCUUUGUUGAAAGUGAGACAGAAAUUUUUAAGUUGUAGCGUGAUACCAACGUUUGAUUUAAUUAUAAAAUGUAUAGCAAUUCUUGCUAUGAGCACAGCUUGCCCUAUAUGAGCUGUGUCUGCACAAUACAUAGGACAAAAUUAAAACUCCCCCGGACUUUCAUUUUCAGUAGGAUGAUAUCGUGCAUCUAAAUAAGUUUUCAACAGUUGUCGAGCACUAUAUCACUCAAAACUUAUUACCGAUGUUGUUUUUUUCCUAUUUCCUACAAU